This 105-nucleotide non-coding RNA is filed under the name Oxalobacteraceae bacterium IMCC9480. Its description in RNAcentral is "TPP riboswitch aptamer (THI element)". It matches the Rfam family "TPP riboswitch aptamer (THI element)". From Rfam's summary of the family: Vitamin B(1) in its active form thiamin pyrophosphate (TPP) is an essential coenzyme that is synthesised by coupling of pyrimidine and thiazole moieties in bacteria. The record is from Rfam by way of RNAcentral. RNAcentral also lists the same sequence under 1 other name. Lineage: Bacteria; Pseudomonadati; Pseudomonadota; Betaproteobacteria; Burkholderiales; Oxalobacteraceae.
CCACCAAGCUAGGGGUCCUGACCGCAAAACAUUCGCGCUCGGGUGAGAAAUACCCUUGAACCUGAUCUGGAUAAUGCCAGCGAAGGGAAGCUCCGGAACCCACCC